RNAcentral lists this long non-coding RNA (1745 nucleotides) under Canis lupus dingo (dingo). Its description in RNAcentral is "lncRNA (ENSCAFG00020011804.1)". The record is from RNAcentral. Lineage: Eukaryota; Metazoa; Chordata; Mammalia; Carnivora; Canidae.
AUGAAGAGAACAAGGAUUAUGAUGUCAUUUUUCAAAGACCAUGUCCGGGAGCUUCGGUCUAAGGAGAGCCUGUGGUCAUAUGAGAUUAGAGGCUGGUUCACCAAAGAAAUGAGUUUUGAACAAGACCCACUGAAGCAGAAUUUGGGCCAUACAUCAGAAGAAACGCUGAAAUGGAGCUUAGCAUAAAAGAACUGAAACACCAGCUUUUUUUUUUUCUUUUGCAGAAGCAUCUACUAGAUAAAAUUCUGAAUUUGGAGUUAAAGAAAUGUUUGAAUGCCAGUCCUUGCUCUUAGCAAUGAUGAAGCCCAUGACCUUAGGCAAACGAUUUUACCUCUUUCUACUUCUCUUUUCCCAGAUGUGAAAAGGGGAUAGUGUUUGGUCCUGUGCUGCUUGCAGAGAUGAAGAAUAGAUACGCAGUGCUUGUAGAAUAGAUACACAGUGAGCAUUUGCAAUCUUGGUUGUAGGGGCCUGAGCACUUUGGUUGCUAACACUGGUUUCUCUCCUCCCAUUAAGAUUAACAGAACAGCUAGAGUCUUGCACAGGCCCAAUCUCAAGCUUGUGUGCAAGACCUGGAGGAGAACAAUACUCCCUUUGCUUCUCACCUAGAUCUUCUCCCUAGCACAGGGAGAGGGCUAACAUCCCUGCAAUCAUUGCACUGCCCCUCCCCAAGACAGGCUGAGGUCCAGGACGCCAGCAGGUAGGGGAGCCACUCCCUAUCUGGAACCAUCUGUACGAGAUGGUCACGUGCUGAGGGACUUGCCAUUUGUCCCACUCCAAAGCAUGUCAAUUAGCAUUUACACAGAGCUUAAUCACUAAUCAACACUGUUGUAUUUCACUGGGCUAUCACAAGAACCCCAAGAGCUAUCAUCCAAGAGCUGCAUAGCACCAGGGGACCAGACAAGUAGUCCUAGGUUAGAAUUCCAGCUUAACCCGUCACCCAGUGUGUGCAAAGUAUACAGCAUCUCUAAGCCCCAAACCUCUGUCUACAACAUAAGGAUCACAAAAAGGAUCUAAUAGGGCUCUGUGAGUAGAAGGUAUGGAUUCAAGUAAAGCAUUUAGUGUAAUGCCUGGUUCAUUGCGAGCAUUUCAUAAAUGCUGGCUAUGUUUGUUUGUUUGUUUUUAUUAGAAUUUUAUUUUUUAGAGAAUUUUUAGAUUCACAGGAAAAUUCAGGGGAAGACACAUAAAUUUCCCAUAUAUCCCCAGCCCUCACCAGCCCCCAGCAAAUACACAGAGCCUCCUCCAAUAUCAACACCCCUCACCAGAGUGGUACAUUUGUUACAACUGAUGAACUCACACUGACAUAUCACAGUCACUCAAAAGUCCAUAGUUUAUAUUAUGGUCCCCUCUUAGUGUUGUGUAGUCUGUGAGUUUGGGCAAAUGACAGGUACCCAUCAUGGCAUCAUACACAGUAUUUUAAUUGCCCUAAAAAUCCUUUCUGUUCAUCCCUUGCCCCCACCUCAACCUUAACAACCAACAGAUCUUUUUACUGUCUCCAUAGUUUUGCCUUCUCCACGAUGUCAUAUAGUUGGAAUCAUACGUAGCCUUCCCAGAUUGGCUUCUUUCACUUAGUAAUAUGCAUUCAAGUUUCCUCCAUGUUUUUUUUUCAUGGAUUGGUAGCUCACUUCUUUUUAGUGUUGAAGAAUAUUCCAUAGCCUGGUGUGCCGCCUGGUUAUAUUUUUAAUGCACCUGUUGUAAUGUGCGCAUUCUUAUACAGCCAGUAAGCAAUAAAUCAGGACUUUAACCCA